CACUCGCCUGUAACAAUGAGUGGGCGUUUACUUCAGUGACACCCAAGAACACGAAGCUUCUCCUGUGUGGGCUACCCUCUCCCAUCCUCUCCAACCUGGCUGUAAUCACUCCUCCUCCUGUGUGACACCUCAUCUUUUCUUACUUAGGGCUGGGUCUUCGGUUUCCUGCACAGUAGGAAACAGUUGAUGUUGAGGACAAAAAUCUAAACCUUUCUCUCUCUUGUUUUCCGCACAGGUGAAUGAGCCAGGCCUGUUUAUGCUGAGACUCACCACCUAACCCUCUCCCCUUCCUUGCUUGUUUCUGGAUCCUUUUGCCUUGGUUCAGCUACCCCCCACCUAACUAAUAACUCUCUCAGAUUCCCCUAAGAGACUGAUUUGAUUGGUUCUGAAUCACUGUUGCCAGAUGAGGCAGAGCUCAGAAGCGUGGGGGUGGAGGGAAGAGAGGAGCGUGAGCGCGCGUACACACACACACACACACACACACACACACACACACACACACACACACACACAGGGCAAUGCAGACCGUUAUCCACACGAGCAAAGCCCCGUGAGUCAACAGAAUCUCCCAGAAGAAGCAGAAAAACACAGGCAAGUCUGAGGGGCCAUAAAAUGAAAGCAAUAUUAGCAUCCAGGGCCGCAGUGGGACGCCACUCCCAGACCAUGGAUUCUACAAGACGCCCUUCUCUUCAGAGGAGGGAAAGCCUUCCAUGAAAUAACUGUAGGACCCAAAACCGCACGUUGAGGAAACAGCACCGUGGAGUCCAGCCCUGGCUUCGCUCCCCUGAACAGCAGGUCCCUCUGAGUGCGACUGCGGCUCCCUUACGUCUCCCAGAUGCUUUUGAGUGCCUGAUCCCCCCAAAAAACAAUAAUCAAUACAUAAAAGGCAAAAAUUUUCUUUUUAAAAUUAAAAAUUUGAGGCUAUACAGAUGGCUCCGCAGUUAAGAGCACUGACCACUCUUGCAGAGGAUGCAGGUUCGAUUCCUAGCACCCACAUGGCCUUUUGCAAACAUCUGUAACUCCAGUUCCAGGGGACCCAACACUCUCUUCUGGCCUGUAUUACACCAGAAAUGCACACAGUGAACAGACAGACAUGCUGAGAAAUCAUGCACACAAAUGCCGCAUUUUAAUAAUGUGUGUAAGAUGUGUACCUAAAUUUCACGUGUGCUGCAGUUUCCAAAGAGAUGGGAAUGGUUUGUCCUUGUGUGAGUGAGAAACUAAAUAUUCCAGCAAUGCAGUAGCUUGGCCACAGAAGUGGUUACUAUGUCACUGAGUUGGCCUUUAACCUAGGCUAACCUGGCAGCUUUCCAUUGCUCCACUGUAUUUUAUCUUACAGGCACUUUUCUGCUUGUGGUUUUAUACACAGGAAGCACACCCUACCAAUUUGAGCAUCAGCAUGUGAAACGGGCACUGUAAUCCCAUAUUACAGAUUAAAAUGUUGAGGUCCAUCAACAACCUCAAUGUUCCAAAUUACCCAGGGAAACCCCAUGCUACAAAGUCUUCAAGGCUUUGGCAUUAUGGCGACAGGCACGAAGAGAUCUCUCCUUUGUCACUACAGUGUCAAUACAUGACAAGAAUGCUUUCCCAAACCAGCAUCUCCAUGUUCCCAAAGUGCCCAACACCGUCAAAAGCCAGACUGAAAUGCUUGUGUCCUAAUGUCUCCUCUGAAUUUUCAGAUAUAUUGAAAUACUUUUCCUGCUUCGCUUAACUCUAAUUUUACAAUGUUUUCACAGUCUCAAAACUGAUUUCCAUUUGAAAACUUAAACUUUUCAGGGUGUGCUUUGUGUAAUUUCAUUAAGUUUAUUUGGAGUAUAUGGACCACGUUAUUUUUAGUAACUGCUCUGGGGAAUAAAAUUCUCAGAAAGAGAAA
This is a long non-coding RNA of Mesocricetus auratus (golden hamster), 1870 nucleotides long. RefSeq lists it as uncharacterized. The record is from RefSeq and is a predicted model, not a curated record. The transcript is spliced from 3 exons. NCBI's taxonomy places the organism in Eukaryota, Metazoa, Chordata, Mammalia, Rodentia, Cricetidae.